GCUAAGGAGAGCGGGCAGGCAAGGAGAUUCCGGGCCAGGGUCGCGGCGGCAGUCGGCAAGCGUUCGAUUCUCUGGCGUUGGAUCGCGAGCGGUGUCUGCUUGUCCCGCCGAGGGCUCCCAGGACAGGGCAGGGAUCUAGGGGGUUUGCGCACCUGCUUUUUAAUGCCCCGCCCCCCUUUUUUUUUUAAAGUGGAGCGGGUGAAAGUGAGGGAGGAGAAUGGACAGAAUACUGACUGGAACGUUAAUUCGAGCAUUUCGUAUGCGAAGAGCGGAAUAACAGUUCCGUAUUCUUCUUUCAGUUUCUCCAUUAGAUUAGCUUCAUUUUCGAAUGCUCCGUUUUGCAUGCUUAAUUUUGAAACUAGCCCGUGGUUUGGCAGAAUUUGACUGAAUUCAGGGGUGAGAGUUUGAUCCAGUCCAAGUGUAUUUGAAUUUGAGCACGCAGUUCAACCAGUGUUUACAAUGGAAUUUCUGAAGACUUGUGUACUUAGAAGAAAUGCAUGCACUGCGGUUUGCUUCUGGAGAAGCAAAGUUGUCCAAAAGCCUUCAGUUAGAAGAAUUAGUACUACCUCUCCAAGGAGCACUGUCAUGCCUGCUUGGGUGAUAGAUAAAUAUGGGAAGAAUGAAGUGCUUCGAUUCACUCAGAACAUGAUGAUGCCUAUCAUACACUAUCCAAAUGAAGUCAUUGUCAAAGUUCACGCUGCCAGUGUAAAUCCUAUAGACGUUAAUAUGAGAAGUGGUUAUGGAGCUACAGCUUUAAAUAUGAAGCGUGAUCCUUUACACGUGAAAAUCAAAGGAGAAGAAUUUCCUCUGACUCUGGGUCGGGAUGUCUCUGGCGUGGUGAUGGAAUGUGGGCUUGAUGUGAAAUACUUCAAGCCUGGAGAUGAGGUCUGGGCUGCAGUUCCUCCUUGGAAACAAGGCACUCUUUCAGAGUUUGUUGUAGUCAGUGGGAAUGAGGUCUCUCACAAACCCAAAUCACUCACUCAUACUCAAGCUGCCUCUUUGCCAUAUGUGGCUCUCACAGCCUGGUCUGCUAUAAACAAAGUUGGUGGCCUGAAUGACAAGAAUUGCACAGGAAAACGUGUUCUAAUCUUAGGCGCUUCAGGCGGAGUUGGUACUUUUGCUAUACAGGUAAUGAAAGCAUGGGAUGCUCAUGUGACAGCAGUUUGCUCCCAAGAUGCCAGUGAACUUGUAAGGAAGCUUGGUGCAGACGAUGUAAUUGAUUAUAAAUCUGGAAGUGUGGAAGAGCAGUUGAAAUCCUUAAAACCGUUUGAUUUUAUCCUUGAUAAUGUUGGCGGAUCCACUGAAACAUGGGCUCCAGAUUUUCUCAAGAAAUGGUCAGGAGCCACCUAUGUGACUUUGGUGACUCCUUUCCUCCUGAACAUGGACCGAUUGGGCAUAGCAGAUGGCAUGUUGCAGACAGGAGUCACUGUAGGUUCGAAGGCAUUAAAGCAUUUCUGGAAAGGAGUCCAUUAUCGCUGGGCAUUUUUCAUGGCCAGUGGCCCAUGUUUAGAUGAUAUUGCAGAACUGGUGGACGCGGGAAAGAUCCGGCCAGUUAUUGAACAAACCUUUCCUUUUUCUAAAGUUCCAGAAGCCUUCCUGAAGGUGGAAAGAGGACACGCACGAGGAAAGACUAGACAGGGUCUCGCUGUGUCACCCAGGCUGGAGUGCAGUGGCACAAUCACAGCUCACUGCAGCCUUGACCUUAAGCGAUUCUCCUGCUUCAGCCUCUCAAGUAGGUAGGACUACAGGUAUGCAUCACCACACCCAGCUAAUUUUUUUGUAUUUUUAGUAGAGACAGUUUUGCCAUGUUGCCCAGGCUGGUCUCAAACUCCUGGGCUUAAGUGAUCCACCAUGUCAGUCUUCCAAAGUUCUGGAAUUACAGGCGUGAACCACCCUGCUGGGCCUGAUCGUCUUAAUGUACAAUACUAAAACUUUCAGUGUAUAGAUGGAUGUUGGCAUGAAGAGAUAAUUUAAAGCUGGUUCCUUCUUGAAUUCAUCACUGAGCACCUUUCUAACUGCCAAGGUUUCCUUUUUUGUUCCUCCACCAUAAUGUGGUCACCACAGCUCUUAAAGUUCUAAAUCUCUUAGUGUCAUAUAUAAAAAUCUGCCUGGUGAUUCAUUUGUUUAUGCUCUUAAUAUUGAAAGGUGAGAGCAGAGUUUCUAACUUUUUAAAACCCUUACAUCUUGCAUAAGGAUUAGGCCUGUUUCGGCAAUUGAAACAUGCUUCUCUGAGGGCUUUUCCAUGGAAAUUGCAGCCUUCCAAUGGAGCCCAAAGCUUGCCACUUUGAUGUCAAAUGUUUACAUUUAGAUAUCUCUCCAAUCAACCCAUUGCAGUGUGCACUUCGAAUAUUCAUUUACGGUAGGUCUCACUCUGUUGCCCAGGCUGAAGGGCAGUGGCACGAUCACAGCUCACUGCAGCCUCAACCUCCCAGACUCAAGUGAUCUCCCACCUCAGCCUCCUGAGUAGCUGGGACUACAGGCGUGCACCACCACACCUGACUAAUUUUUGUGUUUUCAAUAGAGACAGGGUUUCAACAUGUUGCCCAGGCUUGUCUGGAACUGCUGGGUUCCAGUGAUCUGCCCACUUUGACCUCCCAAAGUGCUAGGGUUACAGACGUGAGUCACUGCGCCCAGCUUCUGUGAUUUUUUUAAUUUUCUUUUUUAGAUGGAGUUUCACUCUUGUCACCCAGGCUGGAGUGCACUGGUGUGAUCUCAGCUCACUGCAACCUCCACCUCCCGGGUUCAAGUGAUUCUCCUGCCUCAGCCUCCCGAGUAGCUGGGAUUACAGGGGCCCCACGACCACACCUGGCUAAUUUUUGUAUUUUUUAGUAGAGACAGGGUUUCACCACGUUGGCCAGGCUGGUCCUGAACUCCUGACCUCAGGUGAUCCACCCGCUUUGCCCUCCCAAAGUGCUGGGAUUACAGGCAGGAGCCACUGCACCCAGCCCGGCCUGAUUAUUUUUUAAAUAGAUGUAGUCCACCCCAACAUCUGUUGUACACAGGUACACCAUACCUAUUGUUUUUGUGAAUAAAAGAAAAAUACUUCCUUAAAAACAUGUAUUACAUUGAUGGUACUCAUUCAUUUUUAUAUCUUAUUCAAAAGUAUUCGAAGUUGAGGGGAAAAAAUCUUUCCAAGUUGACCUUUAAUCAUUUGUGUAACAUCUGCCAGUCAUUCCCAGCUAAAGGAAAAUCCCAACCCUGAGCUCCAAAAGCAGAGGACUUGCUCUUUUUUAAAGGGAUAAGUAAAGUCAGCUCUUUCUUACUUGCUAGACUAUGA
This is an RNA transcript of Gorilla gorilla gorilla (western lowland gorilla), 3277 nucleotides long. It is a transcript of the gene named reticulon 4 interacting protein 1, with no coding region annotated. Lineage: Eukaryota; Metazoa; Chordata; Mammalia; Primates; Hominidae. The transcript is spliced from 11 exons. The record is from RefSeq and is a predicted model, not a curated record.